Non-coding RNA from Acanthosepion pharaonis, 112 nucleotides. Lineage: Eukaryota; Metazoa; Mollusca; Cephalopoda; Sepiida; Sepiidae. The record is from the annotation of a GenBank genome assembly.
ACAGCUAUAUCAUGUUGAAACACCAGUUCCUGUAUGAUCACCAAAGCUAAGCAAUGUUGAUCAUGGUCAGUACCUAGAUGGGUGAUUGCUUGAGAAUACCAGGUAUUGUAAU